GGAUGUGAGAGCAAUCUGGUUGGCACAUCUGUCACCCCAUUGAUCGCCAGCAUUGAUCCGACUGAUCUGGCUGGCUAGGCGGGUGUCCCCUUCCUCACCACUCCAUGUGCAUCCCUCCUGAAGCUGCAUGCUUAGUUGAAGUAGACAACAUUCCCUGAUAGAGGAGGACCGUUCUUUGAUCAAGGGUAUACGAGUAGCUGUGCUCCCCUGCUAGAACCUCCAAACAAGGUCUCAAGAAAUUGUGAUUCAAGAGUAAAGAAUCCAAAUUCAGUUUCAAAACUGAAGGUUUAGAUUC
RNAcentral lists this small nuclear RNA (295 nucleotides) under Propithecus coquereli (Coquerel's sifaka). Its description in RNAcentral is "7SK RNA (ENSPCOG00000001224.1)". It matches the Rfam family "7SK RNA". Rfam says of the family: 7SK was discovered as an abundant small nuclear RNA in the mid-70s but a possible function has only recently been suggested. The record is from Rfam by way of RNAcentral. Lineage: Eukaryota; Metazoa; Chordata; Mammalia; Primates; Indriidae.